Lagenorhynchus albirostris (white-beaked dolphin) is the source of this 2114-nucleotide long non-coding RNA. RefSeq lists it as uncharacterized. The transcript is spliced from 4 exons. Lineage: Eukaryota; Metazoa; Chordata; Mammalia; Artiodactyla; Delphinidae. The record is from RefSeq and is a predicted model, not a curated record.
CCUUGAAAGAGAAAAAGAAAUCGCUGAACUGAAAGCGGAAAGGAACACCACCAGGGUUAGUGGGGUUCUUACUGGGUUAACAUUUGCUUCCGGUCAUGAUUGGGCUCUGGGUUAUUGUCUUUAAACUCAAAAGAUGAUCCACUCUGCCUGCUUUUAAACAGAUUUUCGACAUCUUCUCACUAAGCGGACUGGGGUUGACCAGUUCAGGGUGCUCAUACCUUGCUUGAAAUUUAUGGUGAGAGUUAAUGUAAUUUUAGUCCAUUUGAGGGGGAAUUUCUCUAACUUGUUUGACUGGCCACACUGCAGCGUGUGGAAUCUAGUAACCAGACCCCCUGCAUUGGGAGCGCCAAGUGUUAUCCACUGGAGAGCCAGGAAAGGCCCUUAGCUAAUGAUUCUUAAAAGAGCAGAAAAACCGGAAGGAGACAUUGACAGGACAGACGGGGGUGCUUGACAUAAACCCCGAGCAUGAAUGGAAAGGCAAGUCCUUGUCUCCCUCUCUGUCUGGUUCUCAUCUCACCUGUCCAGUCUGUGCAGGUCUGUUGCCAACACACCGCUUAGACCUGAGCGGCCGUGACAGUCGUGUGAGCCCACAGCGUGCAGAAGGCAGUUUUGACCUUAGCGAUUUCCCAGAAGUGCUUAUUUCGUCCCUCAGCAAACAAGGCCGUUUAAGGAUUCUUUCCGUUAGAGGUCUUCUGAUGGUUCUCAUGAGGAAGACCCGGCCGAAGUGCCCGAGCUCCGGGAAAUCUCAGACGAGCAGCUGAGAGCAGAGCCAGAUGAAGGAGCUGGACGCCCGGCCGCCUUCGGUACUCACGUGACAGAGCGGGAGGAAGGUCUGUACACGGCCGGAGAAAACCUCAUCGUAUCUGAGGAAGUGAACACGAAAUUGCAAUGAGAUGUUUGUGAGCUGGUAUGUCAGAGACAGAAAACUCAUCUCCAGAUGUCUUGGGCCUCAGCAAAUUGGGAGGACAGGCUGAAAACAAUGAUAAGCUUCCAAAAAAACAAGAGUCUUUAGAGGUCGAUCCUGAAAGUGGAAAACAGGCUGUUUAAUGCUUGCAAUCAACACACCCCCUUCCUGAGUCACCACCACACACACAGGGAAGCCCUCAGCAUGUGGAACAGACGGUCCUCUGCUGCCCACCGUCCCAGGAGGGACUCAGGACAGAAAACUCCACACAGAGACCAACAAGAUUGUUCCUUGCAUUACCAAGUGUGUGACUGAGCCUCCGGUAAAAAUGAUGACUAGGCGACUUGAAACAAGUGACCAAAUCUAUAGUCUUAUAAGACCAAUGAUUUUAAUAGUGUAACUCUACAUAUGGGAAGAAGCAACAAGAGAGAACCAGCAACAAGAGAGAACCAUUUCCUGGACCACAACAGACUGGUGGAACACCACGCAGAGGCCUUUGGCUACUGUUGCAUUAGGGGCAGGGCGCGUGCGGGGCGUCGCCGGUGCAGUGUGGCAGUGGCCCUGUGGCCACAGUCUCCUCGGGCCGCAGUCCGGCUGCCAUUUGCCCACUCGCCCCCUUUGCCGGCGCAGUCACCAAGCCUGCAACAACCAACCACGCAGCACCCCUCCUCUGUAUACAAGGAGCCCGAAAUCUGACUGGGGGAAGAUGGCUUGUGGAGACACUGGUCCGCCAUCUUCUCCGAAUAAAAAGUCGCUCUGCCUUGCCCCAGCAACUCGCCUCUCAGUUUACUGGCCUGUCGUGCAGCAAGCAGAACGACCUUGGACUCUAUCAAUUUUGGCGAAGCCGGCCAGGAGCCUUGCUGCUUGUGGUCAGCCCCGGUUGGGGAAUUUUUGGGUAAAGCCCUAGCAGCUGCUGGGACCACCUGUCCUGAGGAUCUUCCCUUUAAAAUUCCCUGAAGCGGCACCAGAUGCCCCAGCGCUUGGCAGUGGGAGCUCCGUACAGAUGGAAUCGACGGGCUCCAGACAGUAGGUGUGUCUGAUGUGUACAACUGGGAACACACCACCCUCUCAAUUUCGGCUUUUCCUGUAAGGGAACAGCCAAGUUGGUUUGCAUUUGACUGGGGUACCCUGUUGCAGAGGGGAAUUUUUGUUGCAACUCUGUGAACCAGUUUGUUUGCUUUUGUUUUGCAUUCAUUCACGAUGGAAUUUG